RNAcentral lists this microRNA precursor (156 nucleotides) under Podarcis lilfordi (Lilford's wall lizard). The record is from RNAcentral. Lineage: Eukaryota; Metazoa; Chordata; Lepidosauria; Squamata; Lacertidae.
UGUGUGUGUGUGUGUGUGUGUGUGUGUGUGUGUGUGUAGAAGCCUAGAAUUGUAGGGUGUGCAUAUCAAUAGCAGUUAUACAAAAAUAAAAAGUCAUAUAUUAUAUGCAAGGCUAUUCACAUUACACACACACACACACACACACACACACACACA